GACAUGGCAGGAACUUACCAGAGAUGGUUUGGUGCUCGAAAGAGAACCUGCACACAGGUGCUGCAUGGCUGUCGUCAGCUCGUGUCGUGAGAUGUUGGGUUAAGUCCCGCAACGAGCGCAACCCUUGCCAUUAGUUGCUACGAAAGGGCACUCUAAUGGGACUGCCGGUGACAAACCGGAGGAAGGUGGGGAUGACGUCAAGUCCUCAUGGCCCUUAUAGGUGGGGCUACACACGUCAUACAAUGGCUGGUACAAAGGGUUGCCAACCCGCAGGGGGAGCCAAUCCCAUAAAACCAGUCGUAGUCCGGAUCGCAGUCUGCAACUCGACUGCGUGAAGUCGGAAUCGCUAGUAAUCGUGGAUCAGCAUGUCACGGUGAAUACGUUCCCGGGUCUUGUACACACCGCCCGUCACACCAUGGGAGCGGGUCCCGCCAGAAGUAGGUAGCCUAACCGGCAAGGAGGGCGCUUACCACGGCGGGGUUCGUGACGUGGGGUGAAGUCGUAACAAGGUAGGCGUAGUGCU
Molecule: ribosomal RNA, 523 nt
Filed under: uncultured bacterium
Lineage: Bacteria
Description: bacterial SSU rRNA
Rfam family: Bacterial small subunit ribosomal RNA
Source: RNAcentral